AUGUGGUUGGAUGUAGUGCUUUUGGCUAUGUUUACAAGGUUUCAGGGAAAACUACCUAGCGGGAUUGAGAUUGCGGUCAAAAGAUUUGCAACAUCAUCAACUCAAGAUACAAAGAUGGGAGAAUCACUUAAUUGGUCUAAGCGCCUCGAUAUGAUUGAAGGGAUAGCUCAGGGUCUUGUUUACCUGCAUGAUCUAUCGUCUCACCAAUGUGUCGUCCACAUGGAUUUGAAAGCCAAUAAUAUAUUGUUAGAUUAUGAAAUGAACCCUAAGAUUUCUGAUUUUGGGAUGGCUAGGAUAUUACCUUCUAGCGGGACUGAAGAGACCUCGGACACUGUUAAAGGCACAACUGGUUAUAUGGAUCCAGAAUAUAUCAGGUCUGGGAAAUUCUCAGCGAAGUCUGAUGUGUAUAGCUUUGGCAUCAUGAUUCUUGAGAUCGCCUGGGAGCUAUGGAAAGCAGGAAAGCCCCACGAGCUUGCUGAUGUAUCAUCACCAAGUAAUGACCAACAAACGGCUCAGAUCAUCAGAUGCAUUCAUGUGGCACUGCUGUGUAUUCAAGAUUGUCCGAUGCACCGGCCUACCAUGUUGGAUGUGCUUCUGAUGCUACGCAGCGAGAGCUUCGCCAGCUUACCUACACCUAGCGUGCCAGUCAACCACACAGAUGAGCAUCAAGCUGAAGCCCUGACGCUCGAGGGUUUCUGGGAGGUGAACGUACCAUUACAACCUGUUGAGGAGAUGGUCACUUCGUAG
This 747-nucleotide ribosomal RNA is filed under the name Triticum aestivum (bread wheat). RNAcentral's name for it is "partial small subunit ribosomal RNA". Lineage: Eukaryota; Viridiplantae; Streptophyta; Magnoliopsida; Poales; Poaceae. The record is from RNAcentral.